CGUGGCUCCUGCCAGAAAGCACAAGAACCUACUGUGAUCCUGUACUGAAUAAGAAGAGCUGCUGUGAUAUCCCUAACUUGACAGCGCUUGUCCGUGUGUGCCAUAUAGAUAACAUUGUGCUCACUCCUGUGGAAUAAUUUAUGAGUCAGCACUGAUUGGCUAAAAUGCAAGUCUCUCAAAAGAACUGAGAUAAGGG
This is a long non-coding RNA of Bombina bombina (fire-bellied toad), 196 nucleotides long. RefSeq lists it as uncharacterized. Lineage: Eukaryota; Metazoa; Chordata; Amphibia; Anura; Bombinatoridae. The transcript is spliced from 3 exons. The record is from RefSeq and is a predicted model, not a curated record.